GAACGCUGGCGGCAUGCCUUACACAUGCAAGUCGAACGGCAGCGGGGGGAGCUUGCUCCCUGACGGCGAGUGGCGGACGGGUGAGUAACACGUAGGAAUCUACCUUAAUUAUAAUAGUUAGUGGGGGAUAACCCGGGGAAACUCGGGCUAAUACCGCAUAAUCUCUUCAAAGCAAAGCGGGGGAUCUUCGGACCUCGUGCUAUGAGAUGAGCCUGCGUCGGAUUAGCUAGUUGGUAGGGUAAUGGCCCACCAAGGCGACGAUCCGUAGCUGGUCUGAGAGGACGAUCAGCCACACUGGGACUGAGACACGGCC
Molecule: ribosomal RNA, 313 nt
Filed under: uncultured Coxiella sp.
Lineage: Bacteria; Pseudomonadati; Pseudomonadota; Gammaproteobacteria; Legionellales; Coxiellaceae
Description: bacterial SSU rRNA
Rfam family: Bacterial small subunit ribosomal RNA
Source: RNAcentral